Molecule: long non-coding RNA, 103 nt
Filed under: Struthio camelus australis
Lineage: Eukaryota; Metazoa; Chordata; Aves; Struthioniformes; Struthionidae
Description: lncRNA (ENSSCUG00000008968.1)
Source: RNAcentral
CCUUUCCAUGCACGCCGGCGUUCAGUUUUCCGUUGCUGGUCGUCCUACGCAGAUUCUCAAGAGAUAUGGGAAAGGCUCACACAGCAUGAGGGAAGGGAGAGAC